Molecule: ribosomal RNA, 572 nt
Filed under: uncultured Glomeromycotina
Lineage: Eukaryota; Fungi; Glomeromycota
Description: SSU rRNA
Rfam family: Eukaryotic small subunit ribosomal RNA
Source: RNAcentral
UUGGAGGGCAAGUCUGGUGCCAGCAGCCGCGGUAAUUCCAGCUCCAAUAGCGUAUAUUAAAGUUGUUGCAGUUAAAAAGCUCGUAGUUGAAUUUCGGGAUUGACGUGAUGGUCAUGCCUUAAGGGGUAUGAACUGUCACUGUUGAUUUCUCACCUUCUGGAGAAACUUGAUGUCCUUUAUUGGGUGUCUUGCGGAUCCAGGACCUUUACCUUGAAAAAAUUAGAGUGUUUAAAGCAGGCAUUUUUGCUCGAAUACAUUAGCAUGGAAUAAUAGAGUAGGACGGCAUGGUUCUAUUUUGUUGGUUUCUAGGAUCACCGUAAUGAUUAAUAGGGAUAGUUGGGGGCAUUAGUAUUCAAUUGUCAGAGGUGAAAUUCUUGGAUUUAUUGAAGACUAACUACUGCGAAAGCAUUUGCCAAGGAUGUUUUCAUUAAUCGAGAACGAAAGUUAGGGGAUCGAAGACGAUCAGAUACCGUCGUAGCCUUAACCAUAAACUAUGCCGACUAGGGAUCGGAUGAUGUUAAUUUUUUAAUGACUCAUUCGGCGCCUUACGGGAAACCAAAGUGUUUGGGUUC